RNAcentral lists this transfer RNA (138 nucleotides) under Taphrina deformans PYCC 5710. It matches the Rfam family "tRNA". From Rfam's summary of the family: Transfer RNA (tRNA) molecules are approximately 80 nucleotides in length. Their secondary structure includes four short double-helical elements and three loops (D, anti-codon, and T loops). Lineage: Eukaryota; Fungi; Ascomycota; Taphrinomycetes; Taphrinales; Taphrinaceae. The record is from Rfam by way of RNAcentral.
GCAGCCAUGGCCAAGUGGGUUAAGGCCUCGUGCUUAUAUUGGUCUGGACGAAAGUUCUGCUCUAUGCUCGCGGGAUUUAAAUAUCCCUGUCGAAAGACGUUGACGCGAAAAUCGGGAGUUCAAUCCUCCCUGGCUGCA